UGGCUCAGAGCGAACGCUGGCGGCAGGCCUAACACAUGCAAGUCGAACGAACUCUUCGGAGUUAGUGGCGGACGGGUGAGUAACACGUGGGAACGUGCCUUUAGGUUCGGAAUAACUCAGGGAAACUUGUGCUAAUACCGAAUGUGCCCUUCGGGGGAAAGAUUUAUCGCCUUUAGAGCGGCCCGCGUCUGAUUAGCUAGUUGGUGAGGUAAAGGCUCACCAAGGCUACGAUCAGUAGCUGGUCUGAGAGGAUGACCAGCCACAUUGGGACUGAGACACGGCCCAAACUCCUACGGGAGGCAGCAGUGGGGAAUCUUGCGCAAUGGGCGAAAGCCUGACGCAGCCAUGCCGCGUGGAUGAUGAAGGUCUUAGGAUUGUAAAAUCCUUUCACCGGUGAAGAUAAUGACUGUAGCCGGAGAAGAAGCCCCGGCUAACUUCGUG
RNAcentral lists this ribosomal RNA (441 nucleotides) under uncultured bacterium. RNAcentral's name for it is "bacterial SSU rRNA". It matches the Rfam family "Bacterial small subunit ribosomal RNA", at positions 20 to 507 of the family's 1533-position model. The record is from RNAcentral.